Arachis stenosperma is the source of this 1891-nucleotide RNA transcript. It is a transcript of the gene named F-box/kelch-repeat protein At3g06240-like, with no coding region annotated. Lineage: Eukaryota; Viridiplantae; Streptophyta; Magnoliopsida; Fabales; Fabaceae. The transcript is spliced from 2 exons. The record is from RefSeq and is a predicted model, not a curated record.
AAAGCAGCGCAUUUCAUUUCAAUUACCAAGCAUGGAUGAGAAGAUGAAGCUGAAGCACACAGGGAACAAACCAAAACAGCAAUCGUCCAUGAAGAAGAAGCAACAGCAGAAUGAGAAUCACAAGAGCAAGAGCAUUCACGACAUUCUCGCUCUUGAGCUGAUUCACAGAAUCCUACUUAGGGUUCCUGUCAAAGAUCUCGAUCGCCUCAAGUGCGUUUCGAAGCUUUGGAACACUCUCAUUUCCGAUCCCGAUUUUGCGAAAUCGCAUCUUCACCUCUCUGCCGCACCCACCCAUGUAUGCCUCUUCAUAAGUGACCGCUCCAAUGCCUUUUCCGUUGACAUUGACGCAGUAUUUCACCGCCACACUGCACUAAAAGAGGUAUCUCUCCCUUUCAAGAUGAACACACCUUUGGAUUUUACAGUUAUGUGCUCUUGCAGAGGGCUUGUUCUCUUACACCGUGCCCCGCAUUUUUUUUAUCGUAUGGAACCCACUAAUUGGAUCCAGCAAAAGAGUUUCCUACUCUCACAUUGUUUCUCGUAGUCGUCGCCAGUACUUUAUGUUUUCCGGUAUUGCGUGUUUGUAUGGAUUUGGUUAUGAUGCUUCACAGGAUGACUACUUAGUUGUUGUAGCUUCUCAGGAUAAGAAUGGCCAAGAGCACUUUGAUUGCUUGUCUUUGAGAACCAAUUCAUGGACUAAUCUUGAUUUUGCACUCUCCAAACCCUUGGAUACUAGCAACUGGCAAUCUUGUGGGUAUCUUCUUGAAUGGCGCUAUUCAUUGGGGGACUUUUAGAGAUUAUAGUAUUCUUAUAUUUGAUUUGAAGGAAAGAAGUUUCUCAAUCAUAUCUAUGCCUGAACAAGUGAUGGGUUAUCUCUUUGCCCCUCAUCUCGUCCUACUAGGAGGGUGCCUGGCCUUGUAUUCUCAUGAACCCAAAAAAACUAACAUAUGGGUGAUGAAAGAAUACAAAGUGCAUUCAUCUUGGACUUUCUAUCAGAUUCCUCGUGCACGAUUUGAGCCUCUAUGCUUAUCCAAUAGUAGUGACAUUGUUGCACAAGAUUAUGUUCUAAUGUCUAUAGAUCCCUACUUAAGGUUGGCCAAAUAUAAUGUCAGAGGAGAGCUCCUCCAACAAAGAAUUUUUUAUGAUCAUCAUCUAGCACAUGUUAAAGCUCGUCCGAGGUCUAUAUCGUCCAGAACAAGCUACAUUGUAUACACAGAGAGUCUCGUGCCAGUCCCCAGUGAGAUUAAGGAUAAGGAUAAGGAUAAGAAGAAGAAAAAUGAUGCAGGUUUUGGCUGUUUGCAUUUAUCAAUGCUUAUGGAAUAACUGAUCACUGUCUUGCUUCCUGAAGCCUAUUCUUGUGGUGAGGGGUUUUAAGUUAUUUCUUUUUUCAUGUCUAAUCGGUGCUUAUCUUUUUUUAUAGGCCGUCAGAAUCAGAAGAACGAUGUCAAACAAGAAAAGAGAACUAGGAGCGAAUGACUCAACAGAGACACUUAAUUAUGUUGUAAAUAAAGUGUUGGCAAGUUCUUCUGGAAGAAGCUACUAGAGAAUUUUGUUUUAUUUUGCUUUUGCAUUAAAGUAUGAUAUCCCUUUCAACUAUGAAUGUAAAAAACUGGAACAUUUGAAUGAGCAGAUAGAGUUUCCUCUAGUUAUUCCUAAAAUUUAGUAUCGUUGCUAAACAGAGUAUUAGAUUUAAAAUAAGAAUCAUGCUGUAUUGCUGUUUAACCACAUACUCUCAGUGUCGGCAAGAACAAUACUCUGAAUUUCGGAACGAUGAGGACAGCGAUUGAUUAUCGAUGAGGCAAUAAUCUACAAGAUGCCAUGUUAUGCAAACUUACUAAAUCAAUAAAUAACAAAUUAUGAUUUAAGCAUCUGGUAUUUUACAAUAUACCUCUGU